This 195-nucleotide unclassified non-coding RNA is filed under the name uncultured Rhizophagus. RNAcentral's name for it is "sequence contains ITS2". The record is from RNAcentral. Lineage: Eukaryota; Fungi; Glomeromycota; Glomeromycetes; Glomerales; Glomeraceae.
UAAAUAACAAUCGAUAUGUUGCUUUUGUGACAUUUCGGAGUUGGGUCAUCUUAAUCUUACUUUCUAAGGGACCUAAAAUUGAUGUUCUUGCGCAUCUUGACGUGUAUAAUUUCUUUAUCUCGUCACUUGGAUGGCCGGAUAUUAUUAGGUGUGACCAUGUUAAGUGGUUUUUUAUGCCUAUAAGGAUUCUUGAUU